UACAGAGGGGGCAAGCGUUGUUCGGAAUUACUGGGCGUAAAGGGCGCGUAGGCGGCCUGCUAAGUCGAACGUGAAAUCCCUGGGCUCAACCCAGGAACUGCGUCCGAUACUGGUUGGCUUGAAUCCGGGAGAGGGAUGUGGAAUUCCAGGUGUAGCGGUGAAAUUCGUAGAUAUUCGGAAGAACACCAGUGGCGAGGGCGACUCACUGGACACAUAUUGACGCUGAGGUGCGAAAGCGUGGGGAGCAAACAGG
RNAcentral lists this ribosomal RNA (253 nucleotides) under uncultured bacterium. RNAcentral describes it as "partial 16S ribosomal RNA". It matches the Rfam family "Bacterial small subunit ribosomal RNA", at positions 524 to 776 of the family's 1533-position model. The record is from RNAcentral.